This 301-nucleotide ribosomal RNA is filed under the name uncultured bacterium. RNAcentral describes it as "partial 16S ribosomal RNA". It matches the Rfam family "Bacterial small subunit ribosomal RNA", at positions 509 to 807 of the family's 1533-position model. The record is from RNAcentral.
CAGUAGCCGCGGUAAAACGUAGGGUGCAAGCGUUAAUCGGAAUUACUGGGCGUAAGGCGUGCGCAGGCGGUUAUAUAAGUCAGAUGUGAAAUCCCCGGGCUCAACCUGGGAACUGCAUUUGAGACUGUAUGGCUAGAGUGUGUCAGAGGGGGGUAGAAUUCCACGUGUAGCAGUGAAAUGCGUAGAUAUGUGGAGGAAUACCGAUGGCGAAGGCAGCCCCCUGGGAUAACACUGACGCUCAUGCACGAAAGCGUGGGGAGCAAACAGGAUUAGAUACCCCAGUAGUCCCUGUCUCUUAUAC